This 2244-nucleotide long non-coding RNA is filed under the name Homo sapiens (human). RNAcentral describes it as "non-protein coding lnc-REL-1:2". Lineage: Eukaryota; Metazoa; Chordata; Mammalia; Primates; Hominidae. The record is from RNAcentral.
GCGGUGUAAGCAGAAUUAAGGUUCUGCUACCUCUGUGUGUAGAAUAUUCCCAAUGGAUUUUUCAUUUUUCAGGUGCUAUUUUUUGACCCUGUAUAGACUUUAAUUUAAAAUGAAUUUGGUAACGUUUCUCCUCUGUCUCUACAUAUAUUCAUGCUUUCACCUGCUCUUUUAACACCUGCUUUUAGUAUCUGAGGCACUUUUUCUGAACUCUACUUGUGCACUGGAUCCCUCCUCCUUUCUCUGCCAGGCUGUGUUUACUUUAUCCUUACAUCACCACUUAGUGAUUCCUUUCUUUGUAUAAACAUGGUAAAUGUCUUCAUUAGCCUAAAAGGAAAGACCAAAUAAAACCUUUCCUACCACUUGGAUGCAUUUGCAUCCUGACUUCUGAAAUGCCUCCAGCCUCCAUUUUCUCCCUUCCCAGUUAUUCCUUAGCCCAGCCAUCUCUGUCUUUAGCUCCUACAAUUUUCUUAGGAUAUUCUGGGAAAGAUGAGCGGAGACUGCCCGCCUUGUCAAAUCUAGUGUCUUUUUUUCAGUCCUCACACUGCUUGACCUAUGUAUAACCUCCUAUACUUCCCUCUUUGCAUACUCCUCUGGGUUUUCUGUGGUAGUCAAGAUUCCUCCCUGAGAUUUAUUUCCCAUGAGUCUUGACCCCUCCCCUCAGUUGGUGCUAUUUCCCCCUACCCGCCCUCCGAUGAUCUUAUCAGAGCCCACAGGUUCAGUUUUCUUUCAUGCUACCUGAAUGUCCUGAUAAACUGGCUCGCUCUCUUCUUUACCUUCCAUAAUGGCAUUACCAUUUACCACGCCACCCAAGAUACUUACUAGGAACCUCAAAGUAUUGUAUUCUUUUUCUCCAUCACACUCAUACUUAAUCAUCAAGUCCUUUUGAGCUUGUCUCCUCUUGAAUAUGUCCCUUCUUAAUUCCUGCUGCCUUCUUAGUAAAGGCCUUCAUUCUUUUUUCCCUAGUAAUAAUCUUUUCCAUAUGUUCCAGUUAAAAUACCAUGUUCUCCCUAUUCCUUAUUACAUAGCUAGCAUUCCUUGAAAAAAAACAAUUCUCUCAGGCCUCCAUACCUUUAGCAUGUUACCCACUCUGCCUCUGCUCUUCUGGAACUAGAACACUCAUCCUUGAAGGCUGGGCUUCUGUAUGAAGGUUGGUCCUGCCUCCUUACUUGAGGUGAAGCUUUGUACAUGCCUGUAUUACGGACAUCCUCUUAUUUAAGUGUUUGUCUCUUUCGUCAUUGGGACUCCAGCACCCAGCAUAGUCCCUAGUAUACUAGUUGGUGCUGAAUAAAUAGUAGCUAUUAUUAGAAAAGGAAGGGUGAAAUUGACAUGGGAGUUAGUAAAAUGUAUAUGGAAAUGAUUUUUAAAGGGAAAGGUAAUGAUUUUCUGGCAGGAAAAGCAGCAAUGACAAGAUUACUUAAGUCUUGUGAAAUAACACUUCUCUUCCUUGACCUGCUGCUUCCCUUUUUUACCACACACACACGCACACAUACCACAGCCCUUUGAGACUGAAAGCAGCUCUAUUGAGAAUAGUAGUGUCAACUGUAUUAUGUAGAAAUUCUAAAGUUUUUGGGAUUAUUUCAUAGCCCUGACCUUGCUACUUCUCUCCACUUUAUGUGGCAGGUUUAAUCUCAGGUCUCCCUCAUACACUUCUCAGCCUCAGCACCUAACCCUCACACAACACUCCAGUAUUGAUGCAGUCAAUCUUGUAUAACAUUUUUUGAAUGUCCAAUGUGCAAAGCACGAUGUUGGAAAUUAUACAGAGGUGAAUAAGACAAAAACUCUUGCUCUCAAAGAUGUCAGUCUUUUUCUUUGCAAGGAUAACACAUGUAGAGUAAAAUGCAUAAAGGGGACUAAUUUUAAAUGUACAGCUUAAUUAAUUUUUAUGUAUGUUAACACCCAUGUCACCACCAUGUUUAGGACAUUUCCAGCACCCCUGAAAUUUCCUUCAUGCCCCUUCCCAGUCUGUACCUACACCUCUAAAUCUAUUUUCAAUCUUAAUGGCCUUUUAAAUAACUGGGCUUCUCACAACCAUAGUGAACAGAAACAGCUGGGUUGUCAACGUCUAACCUAAUACUUCAGGAAAACUCAUGAUGGUUUCCAUGUUAAGAGAGACAUGGAGCAGGGCACUGGCAUGGUGGAUGGAUCACGCCUGUAAUCCCAGCACUUUGGGAGGCCGAGGUAGGGGGAUUGCUUGAGCCCAGGAGUUCAAGACUAGCCUGGGUAAUAUAAGGAAAACCUGUCUCU